This 492-nucleotide ribosomal RNA is filed under the name uncultured bacterium. Its description in RNAcentral is "partial 16S ribosomal RNA". It matches the Rfam family "Bacterial small subunit ribosomal RNA", at positions 29 to 507 of the family's 1533-position model. The record is from RNAcentral.
AGUGAACGCUGGCGGUAGGCCUAACACAUGCAAGUCGAACGGCAGCACAGUAAGAGCUUGCUCUUACGGGUGGCGAGUGGCGGACGGGUGAGGAAUACAUCGGAAUCUACUUUUUCGUGGGGGAUAACGUAGGGAAACUUACGCUAAUACCGCAUACGACCUACGGGUGAAAGCAGGGGAUCUUCGGACCUUGCGCGAUUGAAUGAGCCGAUGUCGGAUUAGCUAGUUGGCGGGGUAAAGGCCCACCAAGGCGACGAUCCGUAGCUGGUCUGAGAGGAUGAUCAGCCACACGGGAACUGGGACACGGUCCAGGCUCCUACGGGAGGCAGCAGUGGGGAAUAUUGGACAGAGGGCGCAAGCCUGAUCCAGCCAUACCGCGUGGGUGAAGAAGGCCUUCGGGUUGUAAAGCCCUUUUGUUGGGAAAGAAAAGCAGCAGGUUAAUACCCCGCUGUUCUGACGGUACCCAAAGAAUAAGCACCGGCUAACUUCGUG